This 263-nucleotide long non-coding RNA is filed under the name Lathyrus oleraceus (garden pea). Its description in RNAcentral is "Pisum sativum (pea) long non-coding RNA (PSAT_LNC010808)". The record is from RNAcentral. Lineage: Eukaryota; Viridiplantae; Streptophyta; Magnoliopsida; Fabales; Fabaceae.
AGGAACAUUUGUACUGAUAUCAAUGUCGUUUAGAAGUAUCACUAUCUUUUGCAACAAGUUUAAUCAUAUCAAAUUUUCUUGAUAUAUAUGAUAUGAUGUUCUAUUUAAUUAGUGUGCUUUUUUAUUUUAUUUUUUAUUGUUUCAGUUAUUUUAUUGAGUUUUAAUAUGAAUAUACUCUUUAGGUUAACACCUCUAUUUAUUUUUGGGCAUUAAUCCUCUAAUUCUCUAAAAAAAAGGUUUUGAUAAUCUAAAAUUCAAUUGAG